Molecule: non-coding RNA, 802 nt
Organism: Chlorocebus sabaeus (green monkey)
Lineage: Eukaryota; Metazoa; Chordata; Mammalia; Primates; Cercopithecidae
Source: the annotation of a RefSeq genome assembly
CUGGGCCCUGAAAUCAUCGCCCAGCAACCACAUCCCUUCUCUACAGAAGCCCCUGAGAGGAAAGCUCUUCACCAUGGACUGGACCUGGAUGGUCUUCUGCUUGCUGGCAGUAGCUCCAGGGGCCCACUCCCAGGAGCAGCUGGUGCAGUCUGGGGCUGAGGUGAAGAAGCCUGGGGCCUCAGUGAAGGUCUCCUGCAAAGCUUCUGGAUACAUUUUCACCGGUUAUAUUAUCAGCUGGCUGCGACAGGCUCCUGGACAAGGGUUUGAGUGGAUGGGAGGAAUCAACCCUAGUGAUGGUAGCACAAGCUACGCACAGAAGUUCCAGGGCAGAGUCACCAUGACCAGGGACACGUCCACAAGCACAGUCUACGUGGAGCUGAGCAGUCUGAGUUCUGAGGACACGGCCGUGUAUUACUGUGCGGCAGACACAGUGUGAAAACCACAUCCUCAGAGUGUCAGAAACCCUGAGGGAGGACUCAGCUGUGCUGGGCUGAGGAAAUAUCAGGGGUUAUUCAGUUUAAGACUGUUUAGAAAAUGGGUUAUAAAUUUGAGAACAAUAGAAACAUGGUCUAGCUGUAAGAGAAAUAUUCCAUUCAAGAGCCACCAUAUAAGCCAAAUUGACAGAGUGGGAAAGGCCAAACUCAAUAAAGUUGAUACAAGCAUUCCAUGAAGGAGUUACUGUGAACAAUUCACAUUAGAUGCAUAAAUAAUUUGUAGCAAGGUUAUUUGAUCAUGUGUUAAGGGUAAGUAUGAUUCUUAAAAAGAGGCAAAAUUGUCUUUCAAAUGUUUCUGUCACUCCUUA